UAUUUGUUGCUGUGGGAGGGAUGGUACCCUGCUCAUGUAGGUCCUGGGUAUUUGUUGCUAUGGGAGGGAUGGUACCCUGCUCAUAUAGGUCCUGGGUAUUUGUUGCUAUGGGAGGGAUGGUACCCUGCUCAUGUAGGUCCUGGGUAUUUGUUGCUAUGGGAGGGAUGGUACCCUGCUCAUGUAGGUCCUGGGUAUUUGAACUCUGUUCCUCAGGCUUGUAGGGCAGGUUCUUUACCCAAUACUCUAUCCAAUACUCUAUUUCCUCAGCCCCAUCUUCUUUCUCUUUUUAUGUUUGUCUCUCUUCCCUACCAUCCUUCUUUAUUAUUUUCUUCAAGUUCUGAUCAAUUAUCUGUUUUUAAAAG
Acomys russatus (golden spiny mouse) is the source of this 362-nucleotide long non-coding RNA. RefSeq lists it as uncharacterized. The record is from RefSeq and is a predicted model, not a curated record. Lineage: Eukaryota; Metazoa; Chordata; Mammalia; Rodentia; Muridae. The transcript has 3 exons.